AUCGAUUAAAAAAAAUAAAUUUAUUAUAUCCUAUCAAUUUAUCAUAAUAAAUUGAUUUUCACAAAUUCAAUUAUAUUAUAGUCGUUAAAAAAUGUAUCAACCGAAAGUCUGCCGUUUCCUCUUUUGUCAAAGACAUGGCGAUCUAAGAAGAACCACUUGCUAUAUAUAAUAAAAAGAACCACUAGUAUAUAUAAUUUCUCACGCGCCACAGUAUAAUAAAGUACACGUCUUACUUUCCUCUUUCUAUCAAAGAAACGCGAGACAUUUCGACGGAAUAAUUCAGAAACACCACGAAUGUUGCGCUACGAUUCCUCGAAAUUCGAAGAGUGUCCUACCGGAAAUCGACACAUUCGUUCGACACAUCCGGCGGAAUACGUUCUUCUCAGAAAAGUGAGGCUCGUAGCAAAUGCCGUGUCCAAUUUCGCGGACGGCACGUAUGUACAUCUUGCGUGCACGUACAUGUGCCCCAAUACGCAGCUCGCAGAUGCGCACGUAUACGCUACAGAAGCGCGGCCCGGGUCUCCGGAUGCAUCGUUCCAGCAUGCAGCACUACGGCCGGCGUGCCGUUGCUGCACUAUGGAAGAUCUGGGUCAUCCGAAAACGGUCGCAGGGGCCGCACCGGGGGAAUUUCUCGUUUUCGUUACUCUGAAAAAUCAUGCGGGCGGGACAAGAGCGAGAGAUAGUGGACCGUCUUCGCGAAGGGUCUCUCGCAAAAUUCACCGAAUUUGCGAAAACGGCACAAAGGAAAUCCGAACGAACGAACGAGUCGUCUAAUACUCCGAAAAAUUCGUUGGCGGAUAAAGUGGGUCGCGCGCGAAGUAAAAAUUAUUACUCUGUGUCCGGAGAAUAAUAAAGUGCAGGGUAUAUAUAUAAACGGAUAUACCGGAUAUAUCUUCUACAUUAAAUUGUCACGAGUGUUAAAUGGUUUUACCAGUGUCUCACCGCUAACUCUUAUCGCGCCGACUUUGUAAGGUCGAUUCCAGGUAUAUUUAAAAGAAGGGAUAUAUAUUGAAAUUUUAUUCCCUCUAGCAUUCCUUCCAUCAAUUAUUUUAUGAAAAGAAUAUCUGAAAUAAAAACUAAAUAAAUAAAAUGUGUAAUUCUUCAUACAAAUUACUUCGAAAUAAACAACUAAUCAUAUCAAAUUUUUUGCAAGUAGAAUAUUGUGUUUAAUGUGUUUUUUCUAUUUCUAAUUCUUAUAUUUAAAAAAAAAGAUAAAAUUGCGUAUAAUACGAGAGCGAUAAUUGCUAAAAUUAGCAGCUAAUUAGCGCUACUGCUGCUAGAUACGUAUUGCCGUGAUAGCGAUGGAGAACCAUAGUAAAUGGCUGUCAGCCACAUAAACGACUUAGUACGACGUACUGACGACGGAUACUGAACAGUCCCAUCGUAUUCUCAUUCCGUGACAGCCGGUUGAAUAUGCAUCCCUCGAAUAAUAGUGUCGAGAAUAUUGUGAUCGCGCUACAAUGUAAGAGAUGCGAGGAUGGAUACCUUCCGAGUACAGUGCCCGAGGAACCUCUUCGAGCGUUCUCGCCUCUUAAAUCAAAUCAUAAAUAUUCAUGACAAUCAUCGCGAGACGUUGAUGGAAAACAUUCUUCGAAGAACGUUAAGAAGAUAAUUUUUAUUGUUAGAAAGGUCUGGCUUAGUUAAUUGUUUCCCAUAUGGAAAUAAGAUUCCUUCGUUCCGGCCGCCACCGAUCGCGAUGGGUGACGCUGAAAAUAGUGCACUAUUUCAUUAGGCAGUGAGUCACGCGUCGAUAUAUCUAAAUCGAAUCUCGCUAUUCACAUCUAUAUCUUAGCGCUUUCGCACAACGUAACGCGUAAAUUCUCGCGGAAAUUGGCUAAGCGCUCUCUUCUUUUCUCAUGUCUGGCAGCGACGCGGUGAACUGCGCCUCGUUUGCAUUGUAUGAACAUUUUUUUUUAUUUGCCCAGAAACCGAGAUACGGCGUCGAUUCAAUAACGUUUCCGGAUGAAAGAACGCGAUAACACGUAUGUAUGCACGUAUGAGGACGCUAACUCUCACCGCUGUAUCUGGCGUCAUCCCUAUUCGUCUUGGCGAGUAAAGCCAGGGGCGCGUGCUUUUAGAUGCAGCCCUAAUCAAACGAGCGGCUUACCUCGCCAACCCCGGGGUGACGGUUCAUUUAAUUAAAUGCCCCGUUCCCACGCAACUUUCUAUAGCGUCGGAAGGAAGUUUAUUUCGCUAAAGCUACAUCCCGCAGCUUCGUGCUAAUCAAUGUAAGGUUGACACGACGCAUAAUUAACGAUUCUGGAAACACUGGAUUGAAUAGAUACACGAAUAUUUUCCGCUUCAUUACAAUAUGCAGAUCUAAAGCGGUAGUUUUAGCUCACUUCGGGUCAUUUAUGCUUUAAUGAAAAUAUACGAUUUCUCCUGCAGCGAGAGGCAAUUAAAUUUUAUGAGAAUUUUCAGAAAUACGAAUUUUCUAUUCACGCGCGCAAAAUAAUGUAUAAAAUUACGACUGCCGUACAUUCCUCGGCGGAUUAUUUAAUCCUAUUUAAAUGAUACAUUUCCUCUUUAUUAACAGCUCUCUUAGAAUUUCUAGGUAACUCUGCUUUGAUGCAAGCAACCCAGAUACAACAUCGGCAAGUUCAACGACGACGAGCCAACUGAGCGCAACAUAAUUCUCAUUAAUCACGACGUAAACUGCAACGUACAGGUGCUACAAUGCAUCCCCCUCCGCCACCCGCGCUUAUUCCCGAUUUUCUUCUCCGUCGUUCCCGCGGCCGAGCCUUGCGCACUUCGCAAGGGGAGGCUGAGUUGAAGCUUGCGUAACAUGGCGCAUAGUUUCGCGAACGAAGCUCGCGUCGACCUGGUCUUACCUCGAUAGCUUGCCCUCAUUACACGGCGGUAAGGGCCAGGUGAUAAUAGCCGUACGCACGGCCGGAGGGUGCCGUUAUCAUCCGUGACCGGUAUCGAUUCUAAUCCCACCCCGAUCCCCCCUUCUGCAACUGGCCGUACCGUACCGACGCGACGCGACGCGACGAUGCGAACGUCACCGGGUUAACGGAGUGCAGCUGUACCUGACGACGACGAAAGCGGGGAGCGAUGGGCAGCUCGGGCAGAAGAGGGGACAUGGUGAGGGAACGGGUGAGCUUUGCGUUUGAACUUGCGUUUGAACCGGCCACGACGAGUCUCCAUCCCCCUUUUCGGAGAAGAACGGUCGAGCGUUCGGCUACCCACCACCGUCACCAGCUCGCUCCCACCAUCGACUCGUGCCGCGGGAAUGUAGGUUACUGGGUUAUCAUCGCCGGCGGUGGCUCGUCCUUCUCCGUUGCCGGAAGCUUUUCCAUCCAAUUGCUCCUGCGAAAGGACAACGACGAAAACCAAGGAGGACCCGGAAUCACCCGAGAGUAUAAUUCUUUCGGCGGGCGUAGACGUUUCGGAGAAGAUUGCCGAUACGAGGAUAUCAGGCCUUCCGCGGGAUUGGCUACAUCGAUUUUUCAGAACGUCCAGAAGAGCCAUUUAUCAUGCGUCACCGCUGUUUGUCACUUGGGAUGAAUUUGUCACGAUUGUGGAUGAUACAACCACUGCUUUUAACAUGGAACAGCUGGGGCAACAAAGUCCGGAAUAAAUUAAUAAGAUAAUUAAUUAAGCAAGAAACACUAAAGAAGUGCUAAAUUUCUGCUUAUAUUUCAUUUAAUUGUGUUAAAGUGGCCAAAUUAACAAAUAUUAAUAAUAAAAUUAUUUUCGCGAAAUCAACUUUUCGAAUAAAUUACUUUAUGUAAAAUAGAAUAUUUUUCACUCCCUCUUUUAUUGCUUUUAUUUUCUCUCUAUAAUUUAUUAUACAUUACAUUUCUAUAAUAUGACAAUAAUAAUAUUAUCAUCAAGCAUUUAGGAUAUGAUUAUUCAUAUAUUCAUAACUUACGUAAUGUUUUAUGGAUCAUGUGUGUACACGUAUCAAAACAGACUUAACAAUAUUAUAUGUAAAAUAUACGUCAUUAUAUCUAACAGCAUUGAGUACUCAUUAAAUAUCGACAUACUACAUGUGAUAGCACUCACUUUUUCUACACCUGCGAAAUCCAAACACCUGCACAAAUGAACACCCAUGAAUCUUUAUAAUCUGAUUUACAAGCAAUUUCCGUUGAAUUUGCUUAUUAAAGACAUAUCGGGACAUGCACUCAAUCUCGGAUUAAUGCGUCAGAUGACACGUAUGAUGUCUGUAAUUCAAAUCAUAAACACAUGCUAAUUAGUCUGUUCGACACGAGUCGACACUAGGCUGUUCUUGUAAUUACACAUAUCCUUGGACAGCGCGUAUUAUAUCUUAUGAGUUAUGCUCCUUUUCACUCCAUCGAUCUUCCGGAAUACAGAGCACUCCUCUGAUAAAUUAAGAGAGAUAGAAUGCAAUAUAUCAAAACAGGAUUGAUUACAGAAAAAAAGUCUUAUUCCAUUUAUAUUCUAUGAAAAGAAUCUAUUUUUAUAUUAUUUUUCCGUCAGUUACUAAAAUAUUCCUAUUAAAAAGUUCUUAUGUAACAUAGAAAACUUCGUAGAAAUACGUUAAUAUAUUAAAAUUGAAGAAAUAUAAAUAAUAUAAAUAAUUUCUUUUAUUAUACAAGAUAACGCAAAAUAAAUUUUAAAUGAGAAAUAAAGAGCCUUUGCAUGUUACAUCGUAUCGCGCAAAAUGCAUCAUAAUAGUAUGCACCGGGGAGCCAUCUGAUUUGCCCCGAAGGCGACAAUCUGACCUAUCGUACUUUACUAUAAAUAAAGAUUGAUGUUCUUAUUUUAGCGUGCGAAUUAGCGUGGGUCUCGGACAGACUCGUCACGAGCUGCCCUCGCUAUUUUCGUAUCGCGAGAUGAGUAGCCGAAGUGUCUAGCAAAAUUAAUCAUUAACAAUCUUCAUUCGUUAGAAUCAUUCUCUGUUAGAAAAAGCUAUAUGUAAAAAGAAUAUUUGAUCAAUUCUAAUAAAAAUAAUUCUAAUAAAAUUUGGACAAAACGUACUUUUGGUCAAGACAAUUGCAAUAAUCAAUAUGAUCAAUAGCUUUAAUAUUAUAUAAUAACAUUAAAGUAGAAUGUACGUGUACACCAAUGAGUAGAAAGAUGUCUAAUUUAUUUUGUCCAAAAACAAAGAAUGCGUAUUACUACACACGAUUUAAGCCUGAAUAUUUGAUAUUCAUUGUCGAAACGCAUUAAACGACUCGUCGUUAGACUAAGUCGUGGCAAUGCAAAAGUUUUAUAUCCUGAGAUGGCAUACUCCCAAAUUUUCGUCGUUUUGCGCCAACGGCAGAUUCGUCCGAGUUUUUCUCAUGCUAUUUAUACGGGAAAAUAAGCCCCGGAAAUCUAUCGGCCGCAAAACGAGAUCGUUCGUUGCGAAAAAAGGCCGACCGGAGGCACGAAUUAUCGCAUAACGUUAUCGCGGUAUACCGCGGUUUUAAUUGCCCGACGAAUGCCAAAGCCGAUGUUCAUUAUAAUGCAAAAAGAGCAAGCGAUUUCAGCAUCGACAUCGAUAAUUUAAACCAUCAAUUUAUACGAAAAAAAACGUGGAACAAUAUUAACAAGCAAUAAAAUAAUAAAAAUACUUUUUUAUUUAACUUCGUUCAUAAAAGAAAGUUAAUUUAACUGUACCACGAUCUUUUUAGCCUUUAAACUAACUUUUGACCCUUAUAUAUAAAACUGUUAUAAAUUCUAUGCAUAUGAACCUUUCUUUCUAAUCUUCACAACACUUAUCCUUAAAAUAAAAAAACUUCCAAUGUACUGUAAUUCUAUAGCAGCAGAUGCAACUUCGCGCAACCCUUAUGCAAUAUCUUACAAAUUGCAUUUAAUCAUCCACAAGAUUGUGGUCGGAUAUGUAAGGAGCAUAAAUUGUCGGUACAAGAAAUUACAGUUCGCUUACAUUGAGGAUCUAUUUGCAAUUGUUUUCUCAGGGCUUGGCGUUGUUAAGUCAAGCUUGUCAUUUAUAUAAGCGAACUAGUGAUGUCGCGGCAUCGUGAACAACCCGGAAAUCUUAUGAAAAUAGAAUUAAAUGCACAUAAUAAAGAUAUAAAUAAUCCCAGACAUUUCAUAUCUUGUGCUUCAUUCUAUUAAUAUCUACACAUGUUAGGAUAAGCAUUAUGCCGUUAUAAUAAAAGUGGAAAAAAAUAACUUUUUUUCUCCUAUCGCAAUUUUAGGAAUUAUUAUUAAAAGAUCAUGUAUAAAAAAAAGAUUUUUUGUCUCACGAAGAGAUUUAAUUUUUUGCGAACUUAAUGCACUAAUGCUAUCAUUAGCAUUUUUACGCUAAAAUAAACAUAUUUAUGUAUAAUACAAAUUUUAACACUUUAUAAUAAAUUUCUAACAGUAUAUAUAUAAUUAACACAAUCGUCACAUAAUUUUUAUGAGAACGAUGCCUGUGCACAAUGUUCUAAAGAAAAAGACAAUGAUAUUUCUGUUUAAUUAAAAUAAUUUACUGUUCUUUAUUAAUUAUAAUUAAUCUAUACGUAAAAUUAACAAAUAUUUAAUUUAAGAUAAAGUUGACAACGUAUUUAAUACGUAAACAUUAUCAAAACAUUUAUUCUACGCUUAAUGAAUAAUUAAAGCAAUUAUUUCGUGACACGUACUUUAUUAUCGAUGAAAAUCACCGUCACGUAAACCUAUAGCCUAUCACGUUCCAUAAUCAAACUAUCGGUUUUCUAAUGAGCAACCAUUGCACGAUUAUUGUGGCGCACGUUCUACCAUCAUAAACGAGGAUAGAGGUAUAGAUUAAUAACCGCAAUCGAAACAUGCGCGUUAUAUCUCUGUUGCGUUAUUCCGUUUAUUAUAUGCCUAUAUAAACAAUCGUAUACUAACUUCGAUCUUCGAAUAAAUAUUUGACGGAAAAAAUAAAUAUGUAAAUGUUAAUAAGAAAUAAUCAUAUUUACUUGUUGAAAAAUAAUCAUUUUGAGGUAAUAUUUGAGAUAAUCUACGUAAACUAUAGAGUAAAAUGCCUAAUUUAAAUAUGCAUAUACGUUUAAUAAAAAGUUGAAGAUAUGCGUAAAUCUUCAACAAAUUCGGAAUAAAUUUAUAUCUUUAACAAAAAUGUUAACAGGAGAGAUAUUUCGUAUAACUUUCCAACUUAAAAAAAAUUAAAUUUCGUGCCAAGUACGACCCGAAUUAAAUUUCUGUCGAUGAAAAGUCGACCUGAAAAUAACCGAAGAAUAAAGUUGUAUCAUUUAUUUAUAUUCUUGAUAUUUAUUAUAAGUCAUGAAAAAUCCUCUAUAUAUUUAGUAUAAAAUAUCUUUUAAAUAGAUUUUUAGAAAAGUUCUCACUAAGAAGAAAUGGAUUUAAAAUUUAGAGUAAAAAGCGCUCUAUCGCUAUAAACUAUUUCUUGAAUAGAAUAUAUUUUCCAAUCAAGAUAAAAAUAAAAAGUACAAUAUGUCCUAAUAUAAAAAUUUUAACAUAUUUUUAUUUGUUAUUUUUAUAUAUAGUAAUUAGCGAUGAUUAUUCCAAAAAUCUGAAACUCUUUUUACACAUAAAAUAGGAAUUUAAAAAGUUAUAAUAUACUUAUAAAUCCAAACCAAUUCAAUGUUUCUUCCUGAAAAAUCUUAAAAAACGGACGAGAAGUCGGGUCGCGUUCCUUUACUGAUACCACAUUCUAGCACACGUAUUCCAAAUGAUUGAUGAGCGUACCGAAUAUUCAAACAAAUCUCUUAAGAGACAAGUGAUCGCUACGUUCAAAAAGAUGGCUUCUACCUGCGAAAUAGACACGUAAAGCAUAAAUUAAUCUUUAACGGGUAGGACGGAUUAUCGAUAAUAGGCCUUGGCAUACUGAAAUUCGUGUCAACCGAAGUCAUGAAGCAAAGAGAAGCAUAGCUCCAGGAGAGCUGCUUUUACUUCGAAUGGACGUACACGCGAUUAUCCUCUCCACCUCCGGCGUCGUGACAAAUCUGUUACAUUCUUGGAAACGGAUACUGGCCAGCUGCCAGCCUCUGCUAACGACUUUUCUUCCAAAUAUGAUCCAUACCGCGAUCCGCCUACAUUCAGGAGAGGAUCAAUGAAUUUGCACAAAUAAAUGUGUCCUCUUAGUUCUUCAAGACUUUCGGGAAAUCGGCGUUUGCAGAUCUAUUUUAUAAAAAGGACUCUGCAGUUUCCAAUAGAGAAAGCCUAACGAUCUUACUUGAAAUCCACGCUUUGAAAACAGGAUUUAUAAAUCACUUCGUUUUCGGUUGCCUAAAAUUUCCAUUACGCAAAUUUAUCUUGGUUAAGGGGAUAUGAGCCUUGCGUAAACAAGCGUUAUAAUAAAACUAGUCCAAACGUAAUGACCCGUUAAUGCAGAACACAGGAAAGCGUUCUCUCCCACUCACGCUAGCCGCGAUAUACCGUGAAUCCAUAAAUUAUCGGCGCUUGCUGGUAAACACGCGAAAGUGUCAGCUUCGGUUUCCGCCAAUUAGAAAUGACCGAAUUAUGGUACCAAUCUGAUUCGGCGCCUCCGUCAGCCACGAACAGGAACAGGAGGAGGAGGAAGAGGAAGAGGAAGAAGACGCGCGCCCGUAGAAACUGGAACACCCGACAUAAAGUGCUCGGUAAAGGGGCUAAGUUUUGACACCCGAAGAGUUGCUCUUUGAUCGGUGACCCCGCGCGCGCGCGUGACAAACAGAGAGAGAGAAAGAGAGAGAGAGAGAGAGAGAGAGAGAGAGAGAGAGAGAGAGAACGAGAGUGGUUGCCACCUUGAGCCUCCGGUGUACGUGAUCUUCACGCUCAUCUGGUACAUUUCAACAAAUCAUCGUUGACGGCACCGAUACGUCUCACUGGUCCCGACACCAAACGAUAUUAAACCGCUAAGUUAGGUCGUGGUGCCGUCCUCUAUUUCUUUCACGGCACGUGCGAAGUUAAUGCGAAUUACUAAUAUAAGCUUAUAAGCAAUAUAUUAUCCAAACCAAUUGUUAUUACGAUGGGUACAAUCUAUUUUUAUAAAUAAUCUCUCAAGAAUCAUAUUUCUCUAAUAUCAACGUUAAUAAAAUAUAAAAAUGUGUAAACGAGUAUAAAAAUAGAAAAAGUAUUUAAUAAAAUUUUCUCUUUUCAUAUAUCUCGAAGUUAUGAGGUCUUCUUAGAAACAAACGUCAAUGAAAUAUAUAAGAGUAAACAGUAAAAUCAUAAAUAUAAAAAUUGACACAACUGACGCAAGUAAAGAAUGAUAAAACAUUUUCUUGUUCUGAGAGAUAAUUAUCAAUACUAUAUAUCUAUUAUACCUUUCAUAAUAUUUCGCAACUUGUUUCGUAAUAUUUUACAGUUUAAUAGCAAAAAAUAAUUUUUUUAUACCAUGAUAAAAAAGGUAUAUAUAAAAAAUUGUAUAUCAUAGACAUAUUUGUCGUAUUUAUAAAAAAAAACUGAUUUCGCUAUGUAGGUCGACUGCAGGGUUACUUGUGGUCUCUCUCUCACUCUCCCUCUCUUUCUCUCUCUCUCUCUCUCUCUCUCUCUCUCUCUCUCUCUCUCUCUCUCUCUCUCUUCUUUCUUUCUCUCUCACUUGGAAGACGGCUAAAGGUUAAAUUCCAAUUAUAGCAUGCGGAUAAAUAGCAGCUAUCAUCCCGUAUGAAACGAUCUCUCAGUCGCCAAUGAGACGAGUAAAUACUCCGUAAGAAGAUACGACUUUCAAAAAAAAUACAAGCUGAAUAUAGGUAAAUCUUUUCAUAAAUUAUCGAUAAAUAAAUUAUAACUAUCCUACUUCCUGGAUUUCAAUUUCCUCGAUAAUGUGUUCCUUUCCUUUGAGUUUAGUUUUUAAUAUUUUAAUAAAUCAUUAUUUUUAUUUUUAUCAACACUUAAAGCAUUAAAUUUAAAAAAUAUUAAAUAUUAAAAAGAAGUUUUAAUAAUCCCUUACUCUUUAUAAAGAUUGUACACUUAAUUUGGAGAAUUACUAUAAAAAUUUUUCAAAACUGUUAAAAUUAAUAUUAAUAUUACCACGCUAAAAAUUAAAUCAAAUCUUUUAUUAACUUAUACUUAAAAUUCUGGUCUGCAAUCUUAUUUAAAUGAGAAGAAUUACGGCAAAGAUCUACACGAGUGCAAAAAUCGCAGUAAUACUUUCUUGGGUAUGGAUAACCGCACCGAAAGCGCCGCUUUUCGAAUUAACAGUUAAGAAGUGUCUAAAGAUGCAAAUGUAAUUCAAUUCUGCGCUAGGAUUUGUAUAAAUCUUUUAAUGAAAUUCAAGCGCGAGAUAUCUCAAGAAGAAUGGCGUUGGGAAAAAGAAGAUAAAGACAAUUAUUAUAAUUGUAAAGGUACUGUUAAUCACGAGUCAAUUGUAAUCUCUGUGCAAUAAUUUCCUUGAUUAAACAUACGAGAAUAGAUAUAACAAUUUCUAUUCUCAACUAUGAUUCGUCAUUUGAAACACGCAGACAUAUUUUAUAUCUUCUCAAGACAAGUUCUAUAUAUAAUGAUUGUUAUAUACGCACAUUUGGCAAAUUGUUUAAAGGUCAAAUGCCGAUCGUGACAGUUUGCUAAUUACAAUUUGCGGCUUGUCUGCCGCAGACUAUAUUUAACGACGUUGUCAAUUAUUGCUGUUGAUGUUCCUAAGUGUGUCUAUGCAAACCCGAUGAAAUUGAAGAUGCACGCACAUUGUAGUAAUGAUAUUAAUAAUUUCACAAAAGCAAUAACAUUUAUAAUAUGAAAUGUUAGUGUAUUUGGCAUUCCUAUCAAUUUCUCAGAAAACAGUUCAUACUCAAACAGCGACUUUUUCAAUAUUUUUUUUAUUCUUAAUUUAAGAAUAAUAAGAUAUAAAAUAUAUCUGUAAUGCUUAAUAUCAAGUUGAAUUUUGUAAAAAGCAAAGUUUAUUAAUUUAAAUCAUAAUUCAUCGAAAUGUUAUCAAUCGUUGCAUAAUUCUACGUUCAUUGAGACUGCUCAUUAAGACUCCAAUUUAACGCUUCUGUAGCUGUAAGGACUGCUGGUGUAAAUAAUAUAGAAAGGAAAAGAAAAUAGAAUUCCAUCUCAAGGAAUUAUACGAACCCAUUGCGCGAACGCAGUCGAUUCAAGCGCCACUGAAUAAUUCAUUUUAAUCGUGGUCCCCAAAUUUAUCUCGCGUUUCUUGUAGCGGAAAAUGCGGUGGAACACGGAAUGUACAUUAAGAUCGCAUUAUAAUCACUUCUCACAUUAUUACACGCUAUUUAAGCGGAGCUGCUCAUGAUUAUACGUGCGAAUUAAAAAAGCUGCGAAUUGCAUACGUCUAAUAAGAACGCAAAUAAUCUUUUUAUAAUAAAUUUUUCUCUUACAAUUAGAUGUCAAAUAUCUUUUUUCGCAAUAAAGGUAACAAAAUCUCACAGCAUAAUUAUAUUCGUUUAAUUGGGAUUAAAGUACAAUAUCUAAACUCAAUUUUAAUUUAAUCAAGACGAUUUACAUCAAGACUCGUAAUAUUGUUACAUGUACAUGUCAUGUCUUUCGAUAAUAAUAGCAAAAAAUCACGGAUAUAAUAAAAAUAACAAGUAUAACAAAA
Monomorium pharaonis (pharaoh ant) is the source of this 11374-nucleotide long non-coding RNA. RefSeq lists it as uncharacterized. The transcript has 2 exons. The record is from RefSeq and is a predicted model, not a curated record. NCBI's taxonomy places the organism in Eukaryota, Metazoa, Arthropoda, Insecta, Hymenoptera, Formicidae.